UACGGGGGCGGCAAGCGUUGUUCGGAAUUACUGGGCGUAAAGGGCGCGUAGGCGGGGAGGUAAGUCGGGUGUGAAAUCCCUCGGCUCAACCGAGGAACUGCGCCCGAGACUGCCUUUCUUGAGUCCCGGAGAGGAAGGUGGAAUUCCCGGUGUAGCGGUGAAAUGUGUAGAGAUCGGGAGGAACACCGGUGGCGAAGGCGGCCUUCUGGACGGUGACUGACGCUGAGGCGCGAAAGCGUGGGGAGCAAACGGG
This 253-nucleotide ribosomal RNA is filed under the name uncultured bacterium. RNAcentral describes it as "partial 16S ribosomal RNA". It matches the Rfam family "Bacterial small subunit ribosomal RNA", at positions 524 to 776 of the family's 1533-position model. The record is from RNAcentral.